Molecule: non-coding RNA, 1722 nt
Organism: Erythranthe guttata (spotted monkey flower)
Lineage: Eukaryota; Viridiplantae; Streptophyta; Magnoliopsida; Lamiales; Phrymaceae
Source: RefSeq, a predicted model, not a curated record
AGCAGGGUAAUUUACGUAUUUUCUUACACAUAAUAGUAACACUUUCUUACACCAAUUUACGUAGUUAUCAAAUGGUGUAAUAUAAUAGUAGUGGAAAAUAAAUGACUUCAAGUUUAGUUUUUUUCCUAUGAAAACAUUAUUUCUUCUUCAACAUAACCAUUAUACAGUCAUAUAUAAUUCCUAUCAUUUUAAGUUUUUAUAAUAUAUUUUAUUUCUUUGCAUGUUUGUAGAUACACACCGUACACGAAACGUCUCACUUAUAAUUUUGGUGAAAAUUGUACUCAUACGCAUAUUAUUUUCGUUAUUUUAUGCGUUGAUGCUCUGACUUUCAUUCCUUUUUGUUCAUAUCUAAUUUUAUCGGUGUUACGUGAUGAUGGAAUACCAUUAGUUUAACCCACUACGUAUUAUCCGGCAAGAAAGUUAAUCACCUAUCACGACUUCAUGUGUAAAUGUUUAUUUUUAAACUUUGAAAUUUAAAUCUAUAGUGCAGGUUGGAUUUAUAAUAUGAUUAAUGUGAGCAGGACAAGCUUCUGAUGAGACAAUUUAUUUCCGAUUACUAAGUACCUCAAUUUGUUUGAGAGCUACUAGAAUGGCAGAGUCAUUGUUGAGGACACCACCGUAAAUCCGCGUCUCCGAAUGAUUUGAAGAAAGCAUACAAGAAAGUUGCUAUCAAGAAUCAUCCCUACAUGGGCGGUACGGUGACCCCGAGAAGAUAUUUGAUCAAAUAAAUUUAAUCGUCAAAAUUUGUAAGUUCUUUUGUUUCUGCUUGAUGGAUUGUUUGGGCCCAUGCAUUAUAUUGUUUUCUUUCUGAUUUGGUUUGUGAAUUUUAUUUUUUAUUUGGUGAUUUGAGUUUGUUAUGUGAUGUUAUGUUGUGACCCUAGGUUCCCCUUAUAGUGCUGAAAUGUGGCCCAAUUUUGAUAUAUUAAGAAGAGAACCAAUUUAGUCAUGCAAAAUCAAUGAAUGAUUGGAUGCAAAGAGCUCAAUUGGAUGAAUAUGUUAUUAUUAUUACAACAUCAAUUAUAUGUGGGCAAAGUUGAUAUCUUUCUCAUAAAAUUUAUUAUUAAUCUUGCUAAGAUUUGCAUGCUCUAAGUCACUGAUAAUGCUGUUGUCAAUGUAUAAAAUGAUCUGCUGUAGCAAUGGUGGAGGCGAACGAAAAGCUUAAUGCUUAAUGUCCGUAAAUUUUAUUUUUCUUUUUUAAAUUCAACAGUUUCUUACUUCAGCGGAUGUUGAAUUGGAGGUCGUAUUGAAAUUCUCAAGGAAAAAAAGGUUAUCGCGUGGAGGAUUUCUUCUUGGAGAAGUUCUCCUUCGCUGCUUAGAAUUCCAUCGACUCGGCGGCUGCUGCUAAGAGCUAUAAGGGGGUUCAUGCGACGAUAAGUUUGUGAUUUUGGGUGAUUUGUUUUAUUCAUUUUGCAUUUUUCAUUCCUCUGUAAUAAAAGAAUCACUAGGACUUUUUUUUUUUUUUUUGUGUAGUCUCCAUCAAUGAAUACAUAUUUUACAAAUAAGCCAGAUAUAAUUAUUUUACAAAUUAGAUGAUUUUGUUAGAUUUAUUCAGUGAAACAUUAAAGUUUGUUUGAAUAGGAGAUAGAAUGAUUAAGUUUUAUAUUAUUUUGUAAAAAAUAACAGUAUCUUUUGUCUACAAUUACGAGUUUUAUCCUGGUUUUCUUUCCGCUUUGGAGAAACGAAUUGUUGUUUUGUUCUGAAUAUUGAACUUUAUUUCGCUGC